GAUGAACGCUGGCGGCGUGCCUAAUACAUGCAAGUCGAGCGAACAGAUAAGGAGCUUGCUCCUUUGACGUUAGCGGCGGACGGGUGAGUUACACGUGGAUAACCUACCUAUAAGACUGGGAUAACUUCGGGAAACCGGAGCUAAUACCGGAUAACAUAUUGAACCGCAUGGUUCAAUAGUGAAAGGCGGCUUUGCUGUCACUUAUAGAUGGAUCCGCGCCGUAUUAGCUAGUUGGUAAGGUAACGGCUUACCAAGGCAACGAUACGUAGCCGACCUGAGAGGGUGAUCGACCACACUGGAACUGAGACACGGUCCAGACUCCUACGGGAGGCAGCAGUAGGGAAUCUUCCGCAAUGGGCGAAAGCCUGACGGAGCAACGCCGCGUGAGUGAUGAAGGUCUUCGGAUCGUAAAACUCUGUUAUCAGGGAAGAACAAAUGUGUAAGUAACUGUGCACAUCUUGACGGUACCUGAUCAGAAAGCCACGGCUAACUACGUG
This 497-nucleotide ribosomal RNA is filed under the name uncultured bacterium. RNAcentral's name for it is "partial 16S ribosomal RNA". It matches the Rfam family "Bacterial small subunit ribosomal RNA", at positions 28 to 507 of the family's 1533-position model. The record is from RNAcentral.